This is a long non-coding RNA of Trifolium pratense (red clover), 596 nucleotides long. RefSeq lists it as uncharacterized. The record is from RefSeq and is a predicted model, not a curated record. The transcript is spliced from 2 exons. Lineage: Eukaryota; Viridiplantae; Streptophyta; Magnoliopsida; Fabales; Fabaceae.
AUUAUUAAUCAUAUAUUAUAUUAAGUUAUUUGAUUAAUUGGAAGCAAAUAAUGAUGAUAGGGAAAUAAGAUGGCUCAAAUACACGUAGGAUAUACAUUAUAGGCUGACAUUAAUUCAUAUGUAAAUUAAUCAUGAAUUUUUGUUUAUCAUUUCAUAAAAAUAUAGAUGUCAAUCGAUUUCAAAACUAGACAAAACAUGAUGUUGACCCUUAUAGACCAUUAGGGCCAUGUACAAUUUAUCACCAUAUGGUUAUUAAAUGUACAUACCCAAUAUACCAAUAAUACAAAACAGUUAACUUAGGUAGCCAGAAGGUGCCAAAAUAUAUCUUUAUAUAUAUAGGACCUAAAUUAGCAUAUACAUAUGGUAUAUUCAUAAGAAGAAAAAAAGAGCAAAUCAAAGAGUACAAGUCUAAAUAUUAUUUCAAGAUGGUUGCUACACAAAACAAACACAUUCUUGUGAUUAUUUUUCUCAUUUGCUUCUUCUCAAUUCAUAUUCAAGUUAGAGCAAGAGUAUUAAAAGAAAGAAGCAACCAAAGUGGUGAAGAUGCCAACAAAGCCCAACAUAAGGAAGUACAUGUUGACAUGUUUAAGCUAAAA